RNAcentral lists this long non-coding RNA (965 nucleotides) under Nicotiana tabacum (common tobacco). RNAcentral's name for it is "long non-coding RNA (NTAB_LNC019107)". Lineage: Eukaryota; Viridiplantae; Streptophyta; Magnoliopsida; Solanales; Solanaceae. The record is from RNAcentral.
CAAAACAGAACCAAAAAAUAACGUCAAAAUCCGAACAAGAUACAUACUCCUCCAUUUUUUUCCUAGUUCAAAAACUUAAUUCUUUCCCAAAAUUUCAAAACAAGGGAAGCUUGAUACGUUCAAGAAUUUCAAAAAGGCAAAAGGUUAAAUCCGAUUUUUUAGGUUCUAAGUUCAAUCCACGAAAGUUUCCAACAGAAUAUUAUACGGAGUUUUUCCUACUCCAGGUAUGUUAAGGCUAAGCUUUUUCUUCAUUUUAGCAUGAUCGCAUCAUUACGCAGGUUUGAUAACGAGCCAUAAAGAAAAAUUCAUAUCCCGAAAUUUACGUAUAUUUGGCUAGUCUCUCAAAUUACGUAUAUUUCCUAGUUUUGUAAGUUACAAUAUUCUCCUUAUUGGGACUUCAUAUUCAAUUGAGCAUUUUCUUCUUUCAGUCAAGAGAGCAGAGAAUUUACAUAUAUACAGUAUUAAAAGUAUUUUCAUUACCAUCGAGCUAUAAUCGAUGGGUAGGCCCCUAUUGGGCAACCUCUGAUCAGAUGGUAAGUUAUAUACCGAGCUUACUGUGGUCGUGCGCCUAUGAGCGAGACCAUCAUGGUCGAGAUAUAGAGCCUAGUAUGGCCGAGCGCCUAUGAGCGAGCCUACUACGGCAGAGCANNNNNNNNNNNNNNNNNNNNNNNNNCAGUUCAGUUUCAGCUUUCAGUACAUUACCUUACAUACUCGGUACAUUAUUUCGUACUGACGUCCCUUUUGCUUGGGGAUGCUGCAUUUCAUGCCCGCAGUUCUAGACAGACAGGUCGAGAAACCUCCAAGUAGGCUAUCAGCUCAGCAGAAGAUAUUGGGGCGCUCCAUUUGCUUCGGAGUUGUGUGUUUGGUUAGUAUGAUUUAGACGUGUAUUGUUUGGUAUGGCGGGACUCUGUCCCGACCUUUAUGAUAUUUAUGUACUCUUAGAGGCUUGUGGACAUAUGUCGUAU